UAAAAGCCACAGGAAAUCCCAGCACUUCUAGAUAAUCACUGCUUGAAUAUUAGGCACUCUCUCUCUCUCCCCGUGUGUGUGUGUGUGUGUGUGUGUGUGUGUGUGUGUGUGUGUAUACUUUUAGAGGGAAAUAUUUCUUUCCCAUAAGAGGAUCGUCCUACAUAUGCUGCUUUUUAUAACCUGCUUUUUUUUUAACCUAUCACUGAACAUUUUUCUGUGUCAUUAAAUAUGCUUCUUCCAGCCUCAUUUUGGUGUCAGCCUGGCCUUCGGAUGUGGGGCUUCCUGCCCUGCUGAGCUGCCUUCUCAACCCUCCUCUCCCCAGGACACUCAGCUGUGAAAGGCGCUGAUUUGCACAGAUUUUCUUAAGGAGCAAGCAGGACCAAACAAUUCCUGGUGGUGGCUGUGUCUGCUGAGAAUUAAUGCCAUUUUGUCUUAGAGACUAGAGAAGGAGAGAACGACAGACCCUGGGGAAUUGUCCUCGUGGAAAAGAUGGACAAACAGAGAUUGAAAAUACAGUGUUCUGGCUGGGCGUGAUGGCUCAUACCUGUAAUCCUCACACUUUGAGAAGCCAAGGUCACCGUGAAAAAAUCAGCAAAUGUCUCUUCAACAAUUGGGAAUUACUUCUCUUAAGGAAAAAAAUUUCAAAAUUUGGAAAUAAAGCAAGAAAAAAGAGUACAUGCCUUUAAUAAACUUUACUUUUAAUUGACACAUCAUAAUUGUAUUUAUGAGCUUUCCAUG
This 738-nucleotide long non-coding RNA is filed under the name Callithrix jacchus (white-tufted-ear marmoset). Its description in RNAcentral is "lncRNA (ENSCJAG00000060018.2)". The record is from RNAcentral. Lineage: Eukaryota; Metazoa; Chordata; Mammalia; Primates; Cebidae.